UUCCAAUUUGACAGAACUAAAUGUGAUAAAUUUAGAAUUUAUUUAUGAAAAUUUUCAAUUGGAAG
RNAcentral lists this transfer RNA (65 nucleotides) under Haemaphysalis yeni. Its description in RNAcentral is "tRNA-Leu". Lineage: Eukaryota; Metazoa; Arthropoda; Arachnida; Ixodida; Ixodidae. The record is from RNAcentral.